Molecule: small nucleolar RNA, 137 nt
Organism: Mus caroli (Ryukyu mouse)
Lineage: Eukaryota; Metazoa; Chordata; Mammalia; Rodentia; Muridae
Product: small nucleolar RNA SNORA48
Source: RefSeq, a predicted model, not a curated record
CACCACCAGCAAUGGGCAAAGAGAUAUCUUGUUGGUGGUGGUGUUCUUGUAUCAGUCAGGGACAUAGCAGUCCUCUGUUCAUCCUAGCUUGAUGCCUGCCUUGAUGGCCAAAACUGUCUUAUGCCUAGGACUCAAUC